RNAcentral lists this long non-coding RNA (909 nucleotides) under Homo sapiens (human). Its description in RNAcentral is "HSALNT0399164". The record is from RNAcentral. Lineage: Eukaryota; Metazoa; Chordata; Mammalia; Primates; Hominidae.
GUCAGAGGAAGGGGAUUGUGAUGAGAGGAAAGGCCAGGGGACUGGGACACUUUUUCCUUUGUGAUUAUAAAAUUGAACAGACAAGGUUGCUUCAAGCUAGGAAGUUGCUGCUGGAAGUAUUUAGCUUUGCUGGGGCUGGGGGGCUUGACACCCACAGCCUUAUACUCCUUCCUGAGUUUCAUCCCAUCUCACAGGUUCUCCCCAACUUCAUGGCCUUUGCCUAUCUAGGAGCCUCAGACACAUAGGCUAGACAAAGGCCUCAUCCACAUGAUGCGCAGGUAUGGGUCUAGCUCCUGCAUGAGCUCAACAUCUGGGCCUGUCUGAGCUGCACAGCUGAAGAAAGAGACAAGAUGUCUAUAGCCUCACCCACUUGAGGAAUCAGGCAUGGCUGAGAAAGACAUUCGAGUUGUGCAGGUGGUGAUGAUUUGUGCUUUAGAGGAUGGAGGAGGCCUGCAGGGAAGGCGGAGCUGCGGGGAACACUCUCUAGGAGGGAGAGUAACAUGCCUACAAACACCUGGGAAGGGAGUACUUUUAGGAUCAACACUUGUGGACGGGAGAAGAUGGAAGCAGGACUGGGUAGAAGAAGAAGCUGGGCUGCAAUGAAGUCCCAUUGAAGACCUCAGCUGACCUUGCAUGGAGCCUGCAUCCCAUCCAGGAUACCUGUUACAUUUACUUGUCAUAUCUCCUCAAGCUUCUCUUGGCUAUGACAGUUUUUUAGACUUUCCUUGAUUUUGAUGACCUUGACAGUUUUGAGGAGUUCUGGGCCCGAUGUUGCAGAAUGCCUCCUUAUUGAAAUUUGUCUGAUGUUUUCCUCAUGAUUAGAUUGGGGUUGUGAGUUUUGGGGGGAAGGUAAUAGAGGAAAAGUGUCAUCUUCAUCACAUCAUAUUAAAGGUACAUAUUAGUGACAUG